Molecule: long non-coding RNA, 351 nt
Filed under: Neogobius melanostomus (round goby)
Lineage: Eukaryota; Metazoa; Chordata; Actinopteri; Gobiiformes; Gobiidae
Description: lncRNA (ENSNMLG00000015034.1)
Source: RNAcentral
GUGAGGUUUUGGCCGUUUGCCGUGCAUGCAUCAGUGAGUGAGUGUGUCAAAUCAUAAAAAGACAUAUCACAUAAAGAUGCCUAAGAAACGCAAAAUAAAAGGACAAAAUGGAAUGUCAUUCCGGGAAUUCUCUGGGAAAAAAGAAAGACUCAUAACUUAUGAGCAAAUACAUACGUACAUUCACACGGCAGAAAGCCACAACACAAUAUUCAAAUACACUAAAAACUUCAAAUUUUGGAAGGAAAUGUGUGUGGUAGCUGGUGUCAAACCAGACGUGUCGAAUCAACAAAGAAUGCGUCUGGCUUAUAUCCGCAACAUAAAGCCUAUGUAUUGCACUCCCGAAUGCAUCCA